This 416-nucleotide ribosomal RNA is filed under the name Wisteria floribunda (Japanese wisteria). Its description in RNAcentral is "eukaryotic LSU rRNA". The stretch from base 270 to 416 matches the Rfam family "Eukaryotic large subunit ribosomal RNA", at positions 1 to 147 of the family's 3401-position model. Lineage: Eukaryota; Viridiplantae; Streptophyta; Magnoliopsida; Fabales; Fabaceae. The record is from RNAcentral.
AGUUGCGCCUGAAGCCAUUAGGUUGAGGGCACGUCUGCCUGGGUGUCACAGAUUGCUGCCCAAUCCCAAUUACCUAAUGAUGGGUACUAAUUGGGUAGGGUGAAUGCUGGCUUCCCGUGAGCACUGUUGUCUCUCGGUUGGUUGAAAAUGGAGUGCAUGAUAGGGUGUGCCAUGAUAGAUGGUGGUUGAGUGAUGCUCGAGACCAAUCAUGCGUGACCCUAUUGAACUUGGCCUCUGUAACCCACAUGUGUCUUUGGACGCUCAUGAUGAGACCUCAGGUCAGGCGGGGCUACCCGCUGAGUUUAAGCAUAUCAAUAAGCGGAGGAAAAGAAACUAACGAGGAUUCCCUUAGUAACGGCGAGCGAACAGGGAAGAGCCCACCAUGAGAAUCGGUCGCCCUCGGCGUUCGAAUUGUA